CUUCCGGCUGUGUGCGAGGCGGCCGCACACGCUUCCGGAGUUCAGGGCUGGACCCGUCCCUUCCGGCCCGGUCCGGUCCGGUCCGGCAGAGCCCGAGGAGCGCGGCUGCCUCUCCUUGCGGGACGCAAAGGGACACGCGGAGUUGAAGUGUGGCGGCUUCCUGAGCUCCUGCUGUUCUUUUUCCCCAUGAAGAUCCAUGAGACACUCCUCAGGAUCACCUAAGUGGGUCGGAGCAUCCUGAGCACUAGGUCAUGGUGGAGACGCCAGAAUGAGAAGGCGCAAGAGUUCUGGUCCUCGUCGACCAGCCGCCCGGGUGACCUGUGGUAGGCCCAGGACAGGGACCCCUGUGCCCACGGUGCCUCCGCUCCCACCACUCCCACCCCACUUUGCCCACAGAGGCCUCCAGCUAAGGUUGGUGUGACCUUUGAGGAUGUCGCCGUGUGCUUCUCCAAGAAGGAAUGGUGCCUCCUUGAUGAGGCUCAGAGACACCUGUACCUCGAAGU
This is a long non-coding RNA of Myotis lucifugus (little brown bat), 503 nucleotides long. RefSeq lists it as uncharacterized. The record is from RefSeq and is a predicted model, not a curated record. The transcript is spliced from 3 exons. Lineage: Eukaryota; Metazoa; Chordata; Mammalia; Chiroptera; Vespertilionidae.